AUUGAACGCUGGCGGCAGGCCUAACACAUGCAAGUCGAACGAGUGGCGGACGGGUGAGUAAUGUCUGGGAAACUGCCUGAUGGAGGGGGAUAACUACUGGAAACGGUAGCUAAUACCGCAUACCAUCAGAUGUGCCCAGAUGGGAUUAGCUUGUUGGUGGGGUAACGGCUCACCAAGGCGACGAUCCCUAGCUGGUCUGAGAGGAUGACCGGCCAAACUGGAACUGAGAGACGGUCCAGUCUCCUACGGGAGGCAGCAGGGGGGAAAAUUGCACAAUGGGCGCUAACCUGAUGCAGCCAUGCCGCGUGGAUGAAGAAGGGCUUCGGUUUGUAAAGGACUUUCUGCUGGGAGGCGUAACCCGCAAAAGAAGCACCGGCUAACUCCGUACCAGCAGCCGCGGUAAUAC
Molecule: ribosomal RNA, 406 nt
Filed under: uncultured bacterium
Lineage: Bacteria
Description: partial 16S ribosomal RNA
Rfam family: Bacterial small subunit ribosomal RNA
Source: RNAcentral